UUAGGCUCUUUUCACCGAGAGAUCGAGUUUAAAAUAAAAUAGAUAGUGGCAUUAACAUUAAUGAAGAAGAUGAAUUCGUUUAUGCAUGAGAGUAAUUAGGUGAAAUCUAAACCCUAACAACAUAUUCAUCUCAUAUUAUCAACAUCAUCCAUCCACUUUUGUGUUUAACCUCAAUUGAUCACAUUGCAUUCAUGUUUAUUUUUCCACACUUUG
RNAcentral lists this long non-coding RNA (213 nucleotides) under Vigna radiata. Its description in RNAcentral is "long non-coding RNA (VRAD_LNC016901)". Lineage: Eukaryota; Viridiplantae; Streptophyta; Magnoliopsida; Fabales; Fabaceae. The record is from RNAcentral.